AUUGAACGCUGGCGGCAUGCCUUACACAUGCAAGUCGAACGGUAACGGGCCUUCGGGUGCCGACGAGUGGCGAACGGGUGAGUAAUGUAUCGGAACGUACCUUUCAGUGGGGGAUAACGUAGCGAAAGUUACGCUAAUACCGCAUAUUCUGUGCGCAGGAAAGCAGGGGAUCGCAAGACCUUGCGCUGAUUGAGCGGCCGAUAUCAGAUUAGCUAGGUUGGUGAGGUAAAGGCUCACCAAGGCGACGAUCUGUAGCGGGUCUGAGAGGAUGAUCCGCCACACUGGAACUGAGACACGGUCCAGACUCCUACGGGAGGCAGCAGUGGGGAAUUUUGGACAAUGGGGGCAACCCUGAUCCAGCCAUGCCGCGUGAGUGAAGAAGGCCUUCGGGUUGUAAAGCUCUUUCGGCCGGGAAGAAAUCGUAUCAGCUAAUACCUGGUGCGGAUGACGGUACCGGCAUAAGAAGCACCGGCUAACUACGUG
RNAcentral lists this ribosomal RNA (483 nucleotides) under uncultured bacterium. RNAcentral's name for it is "bacterial SSU rRNA". It matches the Rfam family "Bacterial small subunit ribosomal RNA", at positions 30 to 507 of the family's 1533-position model. The record is from RNAcentral.